Molecule: ribosomal RNA, 501 nt
Filed under: uncultured bacterium
Lineage: Bacteria
Description: partial 16S ribosomal RNA
Rfam family: Bacterial small subunit ribosomal RNA
Source: RNAcentral
AUUGAACGCUGGCGGCAGGCUUAACACAUGCAAGUCGAGCGGAGAUGAGGUGCUUGCACCUUAUCUUAGCGGCGGACGGGUGAGUAAUGCUUAGGAAUCUGCCUAUUAGUGGGGGACAACAUUCCGAAAGGAAUGCUAAUACCGCAUACGUCCUACGGGAGAAAGCAGGGGAUCUUCGGACCUUGCGCUAAUAGAUGAGCCUAAGUCGGAUUAGCUAGUUGGUGGGGUAAAGGCCUACCAAGGCGACGACCUGUAGCGGGUCUGAGAGGAUGAGCCGCCACACUGGGACUGAGACACGGCCCAGACUCCUACGGGAGGCAGCAGUGGGGAAUAUUGGACAAUGGGGGAAACCCUGAUCCAGCCAUGCCGCGUGUGUGAAGAAGGCCUUAUGGUUGUAAAGCACUUUAAGCGAGGAGGAGGCUACUGAGACUAAUACUCUUGGAUAGUGGACGUUACUCGCAGAAUAAGCACCGGCUAACUCUGUGCCAGCAGCCGCCGUAA